This 501-nucleotide ribosomal RNA is filed under the name Triticum aestivum (bread wheat). RNAcentral describes it as "partial small subunit ribosomal RNA". The record is from RNAcentral. Lineage: Eukaryota; Viridiplantae; Streptophyta; Magnoliopsida; Poales; Poaceae.
AUGAGCGGCUUUGAAGCAGUGCAUUGCCGGGAACAAGGGGAGUCCCGGCACAUGCACGAGCUCCUCGCCCAUGUCUCGAAAGCUGGCGGCGCUCCGCGCGUGCAGCACCGGAAGGUACAAGGAAAUGGCCAGAGUCUUGGCACAUCAUGUGAAGAAGCAGUAGGCGGGGAUGCCGGCGACACUGCAGAAGAAGUCCACCACCAGGAUGGCCGGGGAGGCGCCAUCCAGGAAGUCACGGAGCUACGAACUGGAGGCGCGGGCGGCCUCGAAGGUCACCGCCUCAGGGUGGACGGAGUCUACGGGCAUGAGCUCGACCCGCGGGAGGCAGUGGAAGGAGAUGGAGGGGUUGACCGCGGUGACGUCGGCCAGGAAAGGCCCGGUAGCGCCCGUGUCUUACGACGGCUUGAUGAUGACGAUGGUGACGGCGAGGCCAUGAGCGGCCAAGAUUUUGCCGAGCUCGGCCAUGGAGACGAGGUGGCGCAGGCCGGGCGCCGGGUAUAG